RNAcentral lists this unclassified non-coding RNA (1661 nucleotides) under Hevea brasiliensis (rubber tree). The record is from RNAcentral. Lineage: Eukaryota; Viridiplantae; Streptophyta; Magnoliopsida; Malpighiales; Euphorbiaceae.
CUCUGAUACUAUAUUGCUAAAACUGAAUUAACAUGAAAAUAUAAACUUAACAGUGAUGAAACUGAAACAAGACUUUUGUACAUACUUUUUAACCAAAAAAAAAAGACAUAAUAAAAGAAAAUAAAUUAACAGGUGCGAAGCAUAAACUAACACCGUAUAUUUAUAAGAAAAAUGAUUGAUAUUGAUAUAGAACCAACAUUGUCAUAUAUAAUUAAAGUUCUCCAGUCCACAACAGCUAGCAGAGCAGCAGUUCUGAUCAAUGAUUCAUUGUUUCUAUGACACGAAGAUGUCUCCGGCCGUUCUACUUCUGCCUUAUUAUUAUACUAUUUUUUUCUAUAGAAGGAAGCCGACUGAAAUAUUAUUUUCAUUUAGGAUUUUUUUUGAAGCAACAGUCCGGGGAAGCACAAAGUGCAACCAGUUCCACAUCCAUAACACCAUACACUUGGACCUCAUUACGCCCAGAAGUCCUCUGUACAACACAAGGCAGUCUCUUUAAAUUUUCAACAGUUAGAUCGACAUAAUAUAAAUUAAUAUGCAAUUCCUAAAAAAAUUCAAUAUUUUUUUUUGUAUUUUUCAAUUUUACUAUAUAUAUAUAUAUAUAGAGAUUCUAAAGAUUCUGACCGGUACACAGUUUCCGGGAAGAAUAAUUCUUCGUAUUCCUCCUAGUCGCAUGCCUUGGAUCGCUUUUUUUAAUCCUGUGACAAUUAGUUCUCCACUUGAGAGAGACAGAAAAAAGAUAGAUGUGUGUAGAAAUUCUUGCUUAUUAAGAUAUAAAUACGUGGUCUUUGUAUAUUCAACAGAUAAGUUAUAUAUCUUAAAUUUAUAAUAAAUCAGACUUAAAUAAAAAAAAAUCUAAAUAUAUAAUACCAUUUUCUCACCUGGAGCAAGUGGAUUGUCACACAAGUGGACAACCACCGGAGAACGAAUUUUCUUUGUACUGUUAUGAACAGUUUGUUCGAAAUCGUUAUAAAGAAUAAAGUGGAUUCUCAGCUGCCAAAAGAUGCAAUGCAAUUAAUAAGCUAAAAAAAGUUUCAUUAUUUUUGUAAAUAUAUGCAUAUAAAAUUAUGACAUUAGGGCAACGAUGAUUAUUAAUUACUUGUAGGAUAUGAUCAUUUGUUGCAGUAGCACCUUUGCCCACAGCAACAUCCCUGUACCAAACCUUUGAAUUACAUUUACUUUCAUCAAUCUCCUUGUAGUUCUCAUCCUUCAGUACAUUUUUUAGCACUUCCCCUUUAUCUAUUGGGAAGCGUCCACAAUUAGUUUUAUUCAAUUUUGACUUCAAAUCACCAGUAGGACAUUUGUACAAGGUAAUUGAAGAGGACCUUGAACAUUCGCGUGAUAAUGUUGUCACAUUCGAACCCAUGAUCCAUCUCAUUGCCCUUCUGUGCGCUGUUUUCUCCACUGGUAAAAUAGGAGUGGUAACCCAUUGUUUUCAUCUUCUCCUUAGCAUCAAAGCUAAAGGAAUCGGGGCAUGCCGGAUGAGUUAAGUUGGCAAACGCUGGCUUGGGUGUGAGAGAGAGCGUCGCAGAUGAAAUCAUCACUGUUGCUACUAUCCGAUUUAAGCCUCUGGUUGCCAUGGGCAUGAGAAAGCGUCUGCUGUGACUUCGUAUUACUUACAAAUCUGUAGAUGGCUGCAAUUCACAAGGUUUAGUAGGCUUCUA